AACGAACGCUGGCGGCAUGCCUAACACAUGCAAGUCGAACGAGACCUUCGGGUCUAGUGGCGCACGGGUGCGUAACGCGUGGGAACCUGCCCUUAGGUUCGGAAUAACUCCCCGAAAGGGGUGCUAAUACCGGAUAAUGUCUUCGGACCAAAGAUUUAUCGCCUUUGGAUGGGCCCGCGUUGGAUUAGCUAGUUGGUAGGGUAAAAGCCUACCAAGGCGACGAUCCAUAGCUGGUCUGAGAGGAUGAUCAGCCACACUGGGACUGAGACACGGCCCAGACUCCUACGGGCGGCAGCAGUGGGGAAUAUUGGACAAUGGGCGAAAGCAUGAUCCAGCAAUGCGGCGUGAGUGAUGAAGGUCUUAGGGUUGUAAAGCUCUUUUAGCCGGGAUGAUAAUGACAGUACCGGGAGAAUAAGCUACGGCUAACUCCGUG
This 433-nucleotide ribosomal RNA is filed under the name uncultured bacterium. RNAcentral's name for it is "partial 16S ribosomal RNA". It matches the Rfam family "Bacterial small subunit ribosomal RNA", at positions 29 to 507 of the family's 1533-position model. The record is from RNAcentral.